This 272-nucleotide unclassified non-coding RNA is filed under the name Hevea brasiliensis (rubber tree). Lineage: Eukaryota; Viridiplantae; Streptophyta; Magnoliopsida; Malpighiales; Euphorbiaceae. The record is from RNAcentral.
CAAAUGAGGAACUUAUUGGCUUUGGGCAUUCAGGUAUUGGUGGAUCCACUGGUCUUUGCAACAUUGAGCAUAAGUUUGCAAUGGCAGUAACUCUCAAUAAGAUGUCAUUUGGAACUGUGACCGCGAAAAUAAUACACUUGAUAUGUUCUGAGCUUAACAUUCCAGUGCCACAAGAAAUCUCCAGACUUGUUGAGACUGGAUCUACUAGUCAGUUGGGAAUAGGUAAACCACUGAUUAACUGACAAAUUUUACUCAAUUUUUGUCAUUGCAAG